Molecule: ribosomal RNA, 254 nt
Filed under: uncultured bacterium
Lineage: Bacteria
Description: partial 16S ribosomal RNA
Rfam family: Bacterial small subunit ribosomal RNA
Source: RNAcentral
UACGUAGGGUGCGAGCGUUGUCCGGAUUUAUUGGGCGUAAAGAGCUCGUAGGCGGUUUGUCGCGUCGGCCGUGAAAUCUCCACGCUUAACGUGGAGCGUGCGGUCGAUACGGGCAGACUUGAGUUCGGUAGGGGAGACUGGAAUUCCUGGUGUAGCGGUGAAAUGCGCGGAUAUCAGGAGGAACACCGGUGGCGAAGGCGGGUCUCUGGGCAGUAACUGACGCUGAGGAGCGAAAGCGUGGGGGAGCGAACAGG